GUCUGUGUGACAUAAUGGUUUGAGUAUUGGACUACAACUCUGGAGACCAGGGUUCGAUUCUCAGAUCAGCCA
Non-coding RNA from Phrynosoma platyrhinos (Desert horned lizard), 72 nucleotides. Lineage: Eukaryota; Metazoa; Chordata; Lepidosauria; Squamata; Phrynosomatidae. The record is from the annotation of a GenBank genome assembly.